This 1789-nucleotide ribosomal RNA is filed under the name Pinus taeda (loblolly pine). RNAcentral describes it as "SSU rRNA". It matches the Rfam family "Eukaryotic small subunit ribosomal RNA". The record is from RNAcentral. Lineage: Eukaryota; Viridiplantae; Streptophyta; Pinopsida; Pinales; Pinaceae.
CUUGGUUGAUCCUAUCAGUAGUCAUAUAAUUGUCUCAAAGAUUAAGCCAUGCAUGUCUAAGUAUGAACUAAUUCAGGCUGUGAAACUGCAGAUGGCUCAUUGAAUCAGUUAUAAAUUUUUUGAUGGUACCAUACUACUCUGACAACUAUAGUAAUUCUAGAGCUAAUAUGUGCACCAAGUCCCGACUCUUUGGAAGGGAUGCAUUUUUUAGAUAAAAGGCUAGUGCAGGCUUGCUCGCUUCUCCUGUGAAUCAUGAUAACUCGACGGAUUGCACAACCCUUGUGUUGGCGAUGCUUCAUUCAAAUUUCUGCCCUAUCAAGUUUUGAUGGUAGGAUAGAGGCCUACCAUGGUGGUGAUGGGUGACGGAGAAUUAGGAUUCGAUUCUAGAGAGGGAGCCUGAGAAACGACGAUCACAUCCAAGGAAGGUAGCAGGCAUGCAAAUUACCCAAUCCUGACAUGGGGAGGUAGUGAGAAUAUAUAACAAUACUGGGCUCAUUGAGUCUGGUAAUUGGAAUGAGUACAAUCUAAAUCCGUUAACGAGGAUCUGUUGGAGGGCAAGUCUGGUGCUAGCACCCACAGUAAUUUAGCUCCAAUAGCAUAUCUUUAAGUUGUUGCAGUUAAAAAGCUCGUAGUUGGAUCUUGGGUCAUAAAGGUUGGUAUAUGUACUCAGUGUGCACCUGCCCUUCUUUUCCUUUUGUCGGCAAUGUACUUGUGGCCUUAAUUGGCUAGGUUGUGGCUCUGGUGUUGUUACUUUGAAAAAAUUAGAGUUAUCAAAGCAACCUUAUGCUCUGAAUACAUUAGCAUGGAAUAAUGUGAUAGGAGUUUGGUCCUAUUGUGUUGGCCUUGAGGACCGGAGUAAUGAUUAAUAGGGACUGUCGGGGGCAUUUGUAUUUCAUUGUCAAAGGUGAAAUUCUUGGAUUUAUGAAAGAUGGACCACUGCGAAAGCAUUUGCAAAAUGUUUUCAUUAAUCAAGAACGAAUGUUGGGGGCUCGAAGAUGAUCAGAUACUGUCCUAGUGUCAACCAUAAAUGAUGCCGAACAGGGAUCAGCGGAUGUUGCUCUAAGGAAUCUGACAGCACCUUCUAAGAAAUCAAAGUGUUUGGGUUCCGAGGGGAGUAUGGUCGCAAGGCUGAAACUUAAAGGAACUGAUGGAAGGGCACUACCAAGAGUGGAUCCUGUGGCUUAAUUUGACUCAACACAGGGAAACUUACAUUGUAAGGAUUGACAGAUUGAGAGCUCUUUCUUGGUUCUAUGGGUGGUGGUGCAUGGGCGUUCUUAGUUGGUGGAGUGAUUGGUCUGGUUAAUUCUGAUAACGAACGAGACCUCAGCCUGCUAACUAGCUAUGUGGAGGUUCCCCUUCACAUCCAGCUUCUUAGAGGGACUAUGGCUAUUUAAGCCAUGGACGUUUGAGGCAAUAACAAGUUUGUGAAGCCCUUAGAUGUUCUGGGCCGCAUGCGCACUACACUGAUGCAUCCAAUGAGUUUUUCUUCUUGGUUUGAGAGGAUAAGGAAAUCUUCUCAAAUUGCAUCAUGAUGGGGAUAUACCAUUGCAAUUAGUGGUCUUAAAUGAGGAAUUCCUAGUAAGCGUGUGUCAUCAACUUGUGUUGACUACGUCCCUACCUUUUGUACACACCACCCAUCGCUCCUACCAAUGGAAUUAUCUGGUGAAGUGCUCAGAUUGCAUCAACGAUGGUGAUUCAUCGUUGUUGACAUCGUGAGAAGUUCAUUGAACCUUAUCAUUUAGAGGAAGGAGAAGUUGUAACAAGGUUACCAUAGGUGAACCUGCGGUAG